UAUUACAAGUAACUCUUAGUUGGCAAAAGAGUGCACAAGAGUGGCACAAAGUACUUCUACAAUAAGAAUAAGUUGAAAAGUUUGGAAAAAUAUGUGAAUUUUCGUGUCAAGUUUCGGGACGAAACUUCUUUUAAGAGGGGUAGAUUGUAAUCCCCCGUAAUUUUAUAUAUUUCAUUUAUAUAUUUUAACGUAUAUUUAAUAUAUUUAAAUAAGAAUUUAUGAAUUUUGGAAAUAAAUAUAUAGUUAACGUAUAUUUAUUUAUUACAUUUUAAUAUUUUCAACGAUUUACGAAAUCGAAAAUGAUUUUAGAAUUUUAAGUUGAAAAGAAUUUGAAUUACGAAAAUUGAUUGAAUUUAGAAAACGAUCCUAUUCAGUUUUGGACUCGAAUCAUUAAAGCUAAAUCCUAAGUCUAGCCCACUUGAAAAGCCCAACAUUAAAACCCAAACUCAAACCCUCCCCUUCUUUCUUCUAAUUCACGUGAAAGCUAGGAAGAGAAAAACAAAACCCUCCUUCACUAUUCACGUAAGUUUUCAAACCCUCAAGAACUCAUCCUCUCUCUCUCCUCGUCGCUGCUCUCCUCCUUCACGCCGUUGCUCCAGCCGCCGGUCUCCUCGCCGUCGCCACCAAGGCCGCCGGACCGCGUCGCUGUCCUCGCCGCACCACCCGCGACAGCAACCACCGCUGCCGCCACGUCAACAACCCAGCCGGCCGCCGCUGACCGCGUCGUGCACCGCCCAGCUUUUCCUCUCCUCUUUCUUGGCGGAGAAUUCUCUUUAGGCGACUUUUGAAAGUGUUAAAGUG
Molecule: long non-coding RNA, 801 nt
Organism: Spinacia oleracea (spinach)
Lineage: Eukaryota; Viridiplantae; Streptophyta; Magnoliopsida; Caryophyllales; Amaranthaceae
Exons: 4
Source: RefSeq, a predicted model, not a curated record